RNAcentral lists this ribosomal RNA (157 nucleotides) under uncultured bacterium. RNAcentral's name for it is "partial 16S ribosomal RNA". It matches the Rfam family "Bacterial small subunit ribosomal RNA", at positions 355 to 509 of the family's 1533-position model. The record is from RNAcentral.
UGAGGAAUAUUGGUCAAUGGGCGAGAGCCUGAACCAGCCAAGUCGCGUGAGGGAGUACUGCCCUAUGGGUUGUAAACCUCUUUUGUCGGGGGAGCAAAAGCCGGACGUGUCCGUCUGUGAGAGUACCCGAAGAAAAAGCAUCGGCUAACUCCGUGCC